This 256-nucleotide ribosomal RNA is filed under the name uncultured bacterium. Its description in RNAcentral is "partial 16S ribosomal RNA". It matches the Rfam family "Bacterial small subunit ribosomal RNA", at positions 97 to 354 of the family's 1533-position model. The record is from RNAcentral.
CCGGCACGGGUGAGUAACACGUAUGCAACCUGCCCUCUUCAGGGGGACAACCUUCCGAAAGGGAGGCUAAUCCCGCGUAUAUCGGUUUCGGGCAUCCGAGAUCGAGGAAAGAUUCAUCGGAAGAGGAUGGGCAUGCGGCGCAUUAGCUAGACGGCGGGGUAACGGCCCACCGUGGCGACGAUGCGUAGGGGUUCUGAGAGGAAGGUCCCCCACACUGGUACUGAGACACGGACCAGACUCCUACGGGAGGCAGCAG